This 460-nucleotide ribosomal RNA is filed under the name uncultured bacterium. RNAcentral's name for it is "partial 16S ribosomal RNA". It matches the Rfam family "Bacterial small subunit ribosomal RNA", at positions 338 to 795 of the family's 1533-position model. The record is from RNAcentral.
CCUACGGGGGGCAGCAGUGAGGAAUAUUGGUCAAUGGACGAGAGUCUGAACCAGCCAAGUAGCGUGAAGGAUGACUGCCCUAUGGGUUGUAAACUUCUUUUAUAUGGGAAUAAAAUGUUCCACGUGUGGGAUUUUGUAUGUAUCAUAUGAAUAAGGAUCGGCUAACUCCGUGCCAGCAGCCGCGGUAAGACGGAGGAUCCGAGCGUUAUCCGGAUUUAUUGGGUUUAAAGGGAGCGUAGGUGGAUUGUUAAGUCAGUUGUGAAAGUUUGCGGCUCAACCGUAAAAUUGCAGUUGAAACUGGCAGUCUUGAGUACAGUAGAGGUGGGCGGAAUUCGUGGUGUAGCGGUGAAAUGCUUAGAUAUCACGAAGAACUCCGAUUGCGAAGGCAGUUCACUGGACUGCAACUGACACUGAGGCUCGAAAGUGUGGGUAUCAAACAGGAUUAGAUACCCUGGUAGUC